UCCUGGUGUCAGCCAGGAUGUACUCUUAUCUGAAAGCUCCAAGGAAGAACUGAUUUCAGCUUUAUUCAGACUCUUCAGAUGGAAGAGAACUGUCAUUAUCUACUCAGUCUGACAUCUUAAACUAAAAGUCCGAUCACACUCACAAUGAAUGCUAUCUAUUGCCAAAGAAAAAUUGCCCUGGACAAGGUUAAACCAUCAAGGAAGACUUUACUCAGG
Callorhinus ursinus (northern fur seal) is the source of this 216-nucleotide long non-coding RNA. RefSeq lists it as uncharacterized. Lineage: Eukaryota; Metazoa; Chordata; Mammalia; Carnivora; Otariidae. The record is from RefSeq and is a predicted model, not a curated record.